This 429-nucleotide ribosomal RNA is filed under the name Gemmatimonadota bacterium. RNAcentral describes it as "Gemmatimonadetes bacterium partial 16S ribosomal RNA". It matches the Rfam family "Bacterial small subunit ribosomal RNA", at positions 355 to 776 of the family's 1533-position model. The record is from RNAcentral. Lineage: Bacteria; Pseudomonadati; Gemmatimonadota.
UAGGGAAUCUUCGGCAAUGGACGAAAGUCUGACCGAGCAACGCCGCGUGAGUGAAGAAGGUUUUCGGAUCGUAAAACUAUGUUGUUAGAGAAGAACAAGGACGUUAGUAACUGAACGUCCCCUGACGGUAUCUAACCAGAAAGCCACGGCUAACUACGUGCCAGCAGCCGCGGUAAUACGUAGGUGGCAAGCGUUGUCCGGAUUUAUUGGGCGUAAAGCGAGCGCAGGCGGUUUCUUAAGUCUGAUGUGAAAGCCCCCGGCUCAACCGGGGAGGGUCAUUGGAAACUGGGAGACUUGAGUGCAGAAGAGGAGAGUGGAAUUCCAUGUGUAGCGGUGAAAUGCGUAGAUAUAUGGAGGAACACCAGUGGCGAAGGCGGCUCUCUGGUCUGUAACUGACGCUGAGGCUCGAAAGCGUGGGGAGCAAACAGG